CAGAACUUUAAAGCAACCAAGCUGUACUUCAACAGUUUGUCCAGGUCGAGAAUCAGGGCAUGGUUUAGCUGGGCACUUCUGGCUCAAGGUCUCUCAUGAGAUUACAGUCAAGUUAUCAGCCAGGGCUGCAGUCUCAUGUGAAGAUUCAACUGGGGGCCUCCCUAACUUCAUGGACAUCAGAUGCCUUGCGGAUGAACGACGCAAACACCAUAUCGACAUCCUGCUCGACCCCAAAAUUCAGGUCCUGGAUGUCCUCUGACACAGCAGGCAAGUCCACAGCAGCCCCAGGAAGGUUCACACCCUUCUUGCUGCCCGAGGAACCACCAGUUUCCACCUCCGUCACCAGGAAGUCAGCACCUUUCUGCUUUACCUGGAGAGAAAUAAGCCCAUCAUCCACGUAGAUCUUGCUGCCCACUUCCAUCACCUUGCAGAUGUUCUUGUAGUCCAGCCACAGGAUGUUCUCGUCACACUUUUUCAUGUAGGUGUUAUCCAGCAUGAUUUUGAGAGUGGCUCCCAUCUUCAGCCCCACCUCCAUGGUGCUGCUGCCCUUGAUGAGCCCAGUUCGGAUCUCAGGUCCUUUAGUAUCCAGAGCCAAAGCAACAGGCCGGUAGAGGAUGGGGUCAGCAGCAAAGCUUUCCGUGGCUGUGCACAUGUUCUUGAUGGUCUCCACGUGGUACUCAUGAGUUCCAUGAGAGAAGUUCAGACAAGCCACAUUCGUUCCAGACUUAAUCAUCUCCUUCAACAUCUCCACCGAUUGGGAAGCUGGGCUAAUGGUACAGAUGAUGCCAGUGUUCCAGGCUGGGAUGGGUGGUGUGUGAAUGUCCAGGUGGCACAUGUGCUCCAGGAAUGUGUCAGCCGUGGCUGCAUGUAGCUGCUGGGUCUGAAUGAAGGCAGUCCCGGCUUCACUAUGGGGCUUCAACAUGGCUGCUGAGGUCCUCCAGUGCUGACCGAUUUGGGCUACACUGCAAACGCAAAGAGGUCAGGAGCCCCAGGAUGUGCAGCUGCUGUGCCCCAGGAGAGUUUUAAAUGCAGAGCAUCUAGUUGUCC
Molecule: long non-coding RNA, 1047 nt
Filed under: Homo sapiens (human)
Lineage: Eukaryota; Metazoa; Chordata; Mammalia; Primates; Hominidae
Description: non-protein coding lnc-BCAS2-3:1
Source: RNAcentral